UUGUGGUCCCAGAGUUUUCGGUGGAAAUGGGUAACCAUAUUUGGAUGAAUAUCAUAAUUUUAUUAAUAUCAUAUUUUUAUGAAUAUCAUAUUUUUAUUACGUACUUAAUUACUUCCUAAGCUCAUGAAUAAUUUAUUGGGUCCAUAAAUCACUGUUUGACAUAAGGGGUAUAAUAUCCCUCUCUUACUAACCCCAAUUUUAGUAACUCAGUAAUUAUUAUUUCCUUGUAAGAUAAAAUUUUGGACAUGGACAUGGAAAAAUAUAAAUAGAUGACCCAAAAUGCUUUACAGGUUUACUUACAGGCAUUCAAUUUCAAAGCGUGGCAAGUAGUAAUACAGAUCCACGCUUCCCUCCGCCACCUCACCCACCCCACCCCUUAUCCCCUCAACCCCAUUUGAUAAACAGCACUGUAAGAGUGAUCUGGUGAAGCUAAAAAAUCCCUCUCAACAAAUAAGAGAGCUACUGAGGGCAGUUAUGUGUCUCGGAUUUCGACUGUGAUCAAGUUUUUUUUAUGACUUAACCCUCGAGGAAGCUUUCUGGCUAUUUUUCUUUCUUUUUUUCAACUUUAACUUAACACUAAUUUUUCUGCAAUUUGAAGCUGCAUUUCCAGUGGUCUUUUUUUAUAUAUUAUAUGAAUAACAGUGGUAACACUUUACUGUAACACUUUAGAGAUUCAAAAUUCUUUAGCUCCAGUUUUUGACACAGCUCUUUCCUUUGUUGAUUUUUGACUUUUUCAUUUUUUGCAUUUCUGUGGAUCAUCUUCUGGACUUUUGUCUCCUUUUCCAGGACUCCACAGCUGUCUAUCGCUUAUUUUCAGUCAGCUCCCGUUAACACUUCUAUUUUUCAGAAGAAAGAAGUGGAGGAAGGAAAUCUCUCAGACAGAUCCCCAGCAAAAAGAUCACUGUCACAGUCCUUCCAGAGAGCAAAGAUCUCCAGGUAGCUUAUAUAGUGGCGAAAGUAAUGUUUCUGUCAUGAAUGAUGCCGGUUCUUCAGCAUUAGUUCAUGACAAAGUGUUGUUCUGGUUAUCAUAGCUGUUAAAUUAGCACACUGAUUACUAGAGAUGGGAACUGAGAAAUGGUUUUUGUAGCAAACUGGUUCCCAGUAGUCCAGUUCAUUGUGAUUGUUAGUCUGCCUGCCUAUCAAUCCUUAUUGGUUCCUGUUUCACUUGCGCUACAGCUGAUUUCAUCUGAUUUCAGGAAAACAGCAGCGCAGUCCACAGCAUGAAUAUGGAGUUCUUUUAGUCUUAGAUUUUUUUCAUGUUAUUUUGCUUUCACUUUCUGCCAUGUUUCAGUGUUAAUUACUGUUUAACCUCUCUGACACUUGUUUUUUUUGUUCCUUCUCACUGACUUUUUAUCUUUGCAUUGCUAUGAUACAAAGAACCUGCUAAAGUAACCCCUAAAGCAAACCUUCUUCAAAUGUUUGUUUCACAGGUUACUUUUGCAAAUGGGUCACUGUGUUAGUCCAUCCUUUUCUUAAUUAAAUCAUUCAAUUUUCAGUCAGUUUUAAGAAAAGGUGUAUGGUGUAUAGAAAGUUAGAUUUCUGGGGUUUAUUACACUUUUGAAUGCAUACUGGAUUUAUGCCUCUCAAAACUGACUUACUGAAGUUAGAUUUCUAACUUGAUCUUCCAUCUAUUGUCUCCUUACAACAGGUAGUCUGACAGAGAAUGUUUUUUUUUUUUUUAACUUUAAUUCAAUC
Oreochromis niloticus (Nile tilapia) is the source of this 1695-nucleotide long non-coding RNA. Lineage: Eukaryota; Metazoa; Chordata; Actinopteri; Cichliformes; Cichlidae. The record is from Ensembl.